This is a long non-coding RNA of Bos indicus x Bos taurus (hybrid cattle), 225 nucleotides long. The record is from Ensembl. Lineage: Eukaryota; Metazoa; Chordata; Mammalia; Artiodactyla; Bovidae.
UGAUAAUUCAACAGGAAGGAGAUUACUGACCCUUCAUAGACUGGCAGCUCUUUAAAUUAAGAUGGCUCCUAAGAGAAAAGAUCAAUUCCUCGGCCUCCUGUGACCAAAGUCAACAAAAUGAAAUACCGGAGCAUAAUUUAUACCAGUCAUGUUUGACUUAUCACACUUGCGUGUCAAGUUACUCAGAGGUGUCCAGAACGGUAAGUAUUUCCCAUUUAAACUGGG